CCUACGGGGGGCAGCAGUGGGGAAUAUUGCUCAAUGGGGGAAACCCUGAAGCAGCGACGCCGCGUGAGGGAUGAAGGUUUUCGGUAUGUAAACCCCUUUUUGCAGGGAAGAAAAUGACGGUACCUGACUAAUAAGCCCCGGCUAACUCCGUUCCAGCAGCCGCGGUAAUACGGAGGGGGCAAGCGUUAUUCGGAUUCACUGGGCGUAAAGGGGGCGUAGUCGGGAGAGCAAGUCAGAUGUGAAAGCCUGUGGCUUAACCCUGGAACUGCAUUUGAAACUGUGAGGCUGGAGUGUGGGAGAGGCAGGCGGAAUUCUUGGUGUAGCGGUAAAAUGCGUAGAGAUUAAGAGGAACACUAAUGGCGAAGGCGGCCUGCUGGACCAUAACUGACGCUGAGGCGCGAAAGCGUGGGGAGCAAACAGGAUUAGAUACCCCGGUAGUC
RNAcentral lists this ribosomal RNA (440 nucleotides) under uncultured bacterium. RNAcentral's name for it is "partial 16S ribosomal RNA". It matches the Rfam family "Bacterial small subunit ribosomal RNA", at positions 338 to 795 of the family's 1533-position model. The record is from RNAcentral.